UGGGGAAUAUUGGACAAUGGGCGAAAGCCUGAUCCAGCCAUGCCGCGUGUGUGAAGAAGGUCUUCGGAUUGUAAAGCACUUUAAGUUGGGAGGAAGGGCAGUAAAUUAAUACUUUGCUGUUUUGACGUUACCGACAGAAUAAGCACCGGCUAACUCUGUGCCAGCAGCCGCGGUAAUACAGAGGGUGCAAGCGUUAAUCGGAAUUACUGGGCGUAAAGCGCGCGUAGGUGGUUCGUUAAGUUGGAUGUGAAAUCCCCGGGCUCAACCUGGGAACUGCAUUCAAAACUGACGAGCUAGAGUAUGGUAGAGGGUGGUGGAAUUUCCUGUGUAGCGGUGAAAUGCGUAGAUAUAGGAAGGAACACCAGUGGCGAAGGCGACCACCUGGACUGAUACUGACACUGAGGUGCGAAAAGCGUGGGGAGCA
This 424-nucleotide ribosomal RNA is filed under the name uncultured bacterium. RNAcentral describes it as "partial 16S ribosomal RNA". It matches the Rfam family "Bacterial small subunit ribosomal RNA", at positions 355 to 770 of the family's 1533-position model. The record is from RNAcentral.